Molecule: ribosomal RNA, 415 nt
Filed under: Nasutitermes macrocephalus
Lineage: Eukaryota; Metazoa; Arthropoda; Insecta; Blattodea; Termitidae
Description: partial small subunit ribosomal RNA
Source: RNAcentral
CCCUAUUAUUUUAGAAUGUUAAUUUUUGUGCCUGAGUAGUAUUAGUUAUGUUCUUGAAACUUAAAGAAUUUGGCGGUAUCUCAUUCCGUCCAGAGGAAUCUGUCCCGUUAUCGAUAGUCCACGUUGGACCUUACUUAUUUGCUUUUGGUUUGUAUACCGCCGUUUAUUGAUUAUCUUUUUAGAGGUUGUCUUAAUUUUCUGGUUUCUUUAUUUUGAUAUAUUUCAGGUCAAGGUGCAGCUUGUUUUUAAGUGGAUGAUGGAUUACAUUGUUAUUUGUUUAUGGAUUGUUGGUUUUAAUAUUGGCAUGAAAUUGGAUUUGGUUGUAAUGAUUUGUAGAUUGUUAUUGUGAUAAUUGGUUCUGAGAUAUGCACACAUCGCCCGUCGCUCUCGUUUGUUUAUUAUGAUGAGAUAAGUC